RNAcentral lists this ribosomal RNA (445 nucleotides) under uncultured bacterium. RNAcentral describes it as "bacterial SSU rRNA". It matches the Rfam family "Bacterial small subunit ribosomal RNA", at positions 8 to 431 of the family's 1533-position model. The record is from RNAcentral.
AGAGUUUGAUCCUGGCUCAGGACGAACGCUGGCGGCGUGCCUAACACAUGCAAGUCGAACGGAGAAUUUCAAAGAGUUUACUCGGAGAAAUUUUUAGUGGCGGACGGGUGAGUAACGCGUGGGUAACCUACCCAUAAAGCCGGGACAACCCUUGGAAACGAGGGCUAAUACCGGAUAAUCUUAGAUCUUGGCAUCAAGGUUUAAGGAAAGGUGGCCUCUGAAAAUGCUACCGAUUAUGGAUGGACCCGCGUCUGAUUAGCUAGUUGGUGGGGUAAAGGCCUACCAAGGCGACGAUCAGUAGCCGGCCUGAGAGGGUGAACGGCCACACUGGGACUGAGACACGGCCCAGACUCCUACGGGAGGCAGCAGUGGGGUUCUUCCUCUGUGGACGAAAGUCUGACGGAGCAACGCCGCGUGUAUGAUGAAGGUCUUCGGAUUGUAAAGU